GUUCUUUCAAAGGAACUGUUUUUGAUGCUAGUGGAAACUGAAAAUUCACCAAGCAAAUGACUUGCUUGCUUUCAGUUGAUUCAAACCCUAAAUCCAUGUUCAAUGCAGCAGCCAUAAUGGUGGAGCUGUAUCCAUGAACAUUCAUCUCUGCAAACCAACAUUUCUUGAACUGUGGUGUUGAAAAGAAUAACGGAGGUUCCCUUUCCUAAAUGUUCUUUGAAUUUUCAUCUCUGCUUGUUGCUAGAGAGGAAGCAGUUUGACCCAUUGAGAAAGAAGUCAGUUUGAGUUUAAAGUUUUGAUUAAGGAUCAAUGUAAGUGCACAGAGUCUAGCUGUAAGAGAACCUUAGCUUGAAACAUGGAUGUCGAAGAGAAGAAUGCUCCUUUUAGACGAUUUGUCAAUCCACCAUCUGGUGACCAGCAUCUCUUGCUUUACUUCAUCAUGAGCAUUCUUGAGUCCUGAUGUGUACUCUGAUAACCCAGGAUGUUCAGCAGCUCAUGGAAUAGCUAAAGGGUUACCACCAUAUACUUCAAACAAGCUGGGUGACUCAUUUCUCCGUGUUUCUCAAUUGGAGAGCUUGUAUUACUGUCCUAAGAAAUGCUCAUCCUAGCCUGGUUUUGAAUCCAAAUAUGUUGUGCUUUUAUCUUAAAGGCAAGUUGCAUUUGUCAGGCUCAGGGGCACUAGAGGACUGCAGGUGGUUCACAAGUUUUUUUUUACUUAAGAGUACUUGUGGUCAUAGAAGGUACUCAGCAAUCCAUGAAAUUUUGAAGGGGAUUGUUCUUAUUGAGAAUCCAGAUACAUCUUACAUGAGAAAAGAGGACCUGGAAAGGUUCAAAUACUUAUCUGGCAUGGAUAGUUUGAAGAUUGAUAAUAAAGAAAUGCCUAUGCUAUGAGCAUGGAUCCCAGAAAGGUGGAGAAGAAACUGAGCAAACACUCAUGCCAUUCAAGAGAAAAUUGCGGGCACUAUUUCUUCUAGACAUGAGAAACCACCAGCAAUGUUUCAACAGAAAACAAAAGGGGUCACCUUUGCAACCUUCCAGUGCCGGCACUGAAGAAAGCACUUUUGGGAGGAGCUGCAAAUUGGAUGAGUCCACCUUCUGUUGCUUUUCCUGAAUUCGAAGAUUAUAUCACAGAUAUAUCUGUCAUUUUGUCUGGCAGGGCAAGAAGGGGGUACCUGGACCACCAAUCAGAAUUGUCGAUGUAGGCAUUAGCAAAGCUGCAUAAUUUUUUCAAGUUGCUCUUCCUGUUGUGAGGAUUGAUUCUUGCAAUUCCAGCACGACAACCUUUCAUCGUUAAACUCGAAGACAGCAGGGCCACAAUUUGACGUGGCAUCCUUCUAACUGGUGGUUCACGGCCAUGUAUAAUAACCAUGUUGAAAGUGAAGAGGACCGACCAAAGCACUCCCACCAAACUGCACAGUGACAACACCAACUCAACAGUCACAGACCUCUGCUGUCCACCGUCGUCGACUAUCUUAAAGGAAUUUACUUGGGCAGCAUGGAUGCUUCUGGUUCUGCUAACCAACCAAAAAUGAUGCAAUUGGUGACUGUAAAUGGAACUGUGAAGCGAAGUGGUGCUGGACCAUCCAUUUGUCUUGUCGACUUUGGCAUCAAUGAAAAUGCUUAGUUUUUCCGUGUUGUAUUGCCUGGGAUGCGGAGAAAUGAGUAAGUUUCUAACCUCAAAUGUUGAGUAGCACUGGCUUAUGCUGAGGCUUAAAGCGUUGAAGAAUGGCUGCUGUUGUGAUAUAGCAGUUUACCCAGCCCAUUAUACUCGUCUUUGCAGUUGCAGGUAAUUUAUCAUGUGAUAUUGAACGUGAUGGGACUGUUCACAUAAAAGGUGUGGCAACCAUUGAUGCUGGAAUUCUGAAAGAUUCACCAAGAGUCUUCCAUACGAGUGUCCAGCAACAUGCCCUCCGGGGCCAUUCACCAUUUCUUUUAAACUGCUCGGGGGACAGUUGACCCUCGACUCUUCUCCGCCCAUUUCUGGAAAGAUCAACGGUAAUGAAAUACAGAGUACCAACUCUUUCAUCAAACUAGGUUCCACCUCUGUGGGCUUUUUAUCUGGAGCUUAAUUGCACUAUCCAUGAACCGAUGUAAACAUAACCAGCACGCUGUAAAUCAGUAGGCUUGCUGAAAAAACUAAAAAAGAAAAUAAGAAACAUCUGAAGCAGGGCCAUCUCUCACAA
Molecule: long non-coding RNA, 2183 nt
Organism: Populus nigra (black poplar)
Lineage: Eukaryota; Viridiplantae; Streptophyta; Magnoliopsida; Malpighiales; Salicaceae
Exons: 5
Source: RefSeq, a predicted model, not a curated record